GCUCUCUCGGUCCCCCACUCUAGCUCAGACUGAUGAGGAGAGUCCGGAAAGAGAGCAGCCAUGUACGUAAUUUUCUCUCGCUUGCUGAAUCUAAAGGUUAUCAUUAAGACAGAUGUCCCCUGAAGAGUGGUUGCCGUGGAGAUCAUUUUACACCGGAGGAACUAUUUGAUUAAAGAGUGGCUAAGACGGAUUUAAAGCAACUGAGAAAGACGUGGCAAAAGCAAAAAGAGAGUGCCCCAAGAAGACAGAAUUUAAGAGAAUUAAGGAUAAGAUGCCCCAUUUCGUCACUCCUACCAUUCAGCAGUAUCUUCAACGCAGAGCUCUGUUUCUUAAUUGAUUCCUUAUCAAGGACUCUCCAGGAGUGAUCGGAUACAAUGUUAAUCAAUCAACUUACUUUCCUCCUGUUGUUCUGCUUGCUGGGCUGGAGUGAUGCACUGAUCCGGCCGGUGCCUGGAAUUAGCACGACGGAUCGGGAUGGACGGACUCUACACCGCACUAAACGAGGAUGGAUGUGGAAUAGUUUCUUUCUCUUAGAGGAGUGGACGGGAACUGGGAAGCAGUAUGUUGGAAAGCUUCACUCAGACAUGGACACAGAAGAUGGAUCUGUGAAAUACGUCCUC
Long non-coding RNA from Carassius auratus (goldfish), 620 nucleotides. RefSeq lists it as uncharacterized. The record is from RefSeq and is a predicted model, not a curated record. The transcript is spliced from 3 exons. NCBI's taxonomy places the organism in Eukaryota, Metazoa, Chordata, Actinopteri, Cypriniformes, Cyprinidae.